This 408-nucleotide ribosomal RNA is filed under the name Triticum aestivum (bread wheat). RNAcentral describes it as "partial small subunit ribosomal RNA". Lineage: Eukaryota; Viridiplantae; Streptophyta; Magnoliopsida; Poales; Poaceae. The record is from RNAcentral.
AUGUCUCUUGCAUCCGUAAAUCAGCCACUUGUCGCUGGCAUGGAAAAGUUGCCAAAAGAAGUAACAUCUAUCGUGGAUGAGCUUCUGUUGGAGAGAUUACGACAGAUGCCAACUGAAGGAGUUAAGACAAUAUUUUUUUAUGAGGUCGUACGUCUAUGUAGAGAAGCUUUAAAAGAGCGAGUGCGUGUGUUUAGCCAGUUUCUUGAACCAUUGGACUUGAUCAUGGAACAACCGAGGAAACAGUUCAACUGGACUAAACGCAACGAGCUCCUGUAUAUGAGUGGAAAUGUCUCCGUUAAAACUCGCAAGUGCUUGAUGGUGGACUUCAAUGAUAUGGAGAGCGAGGUCAAGGUGAUGCUUGCAUCGACCAAGGUGUGUGGAGAAGGUAUCACCCUCUUUGGAGCGUAG